RNAcentral lists this long non-coding RNA (400 nucleotides) under Phasianus colchicus (ring-necked pheasant). RNAcentral's name for it is "lncRNA (ENSPCLG00000004084.1)". The record is from RNAcentral. Lineage: Eukaryota; Metazoa; Chordata; Aves; Galliformes; Phasianidae.
AUGGAUCAAACCUGCAUCUUAAAAACAUACAUCUCUGAAGAUUCUUUUGUAUUAUUCUUAAAGCGCAACAAAUAUUUGUGGGUCUUACUGUCUUCUCUAAUGUCUUGUUGCAAAUAUGAAGUAUUCUUCUGUAACAGUGAGCAUCUGUAUCUAAAACCGAGGUGCUUUGCUGCAAGUAUGCAAAUCUGGGGGCUCCCGAAGCUUUUGAGAUCUACGUGUGCAGGAGGAAAGGCAGAAUUCAAAAACGCUGUGUUGCAGGAGCAAGCAAAGGUCUGCAUUUGGAAGUACACCCAAGACCUCCAUUAAAGAUAUGAUGGUCCACUUGAAGGCUUACAGAAAACAAACAUAUGAACAUUCCAGUCUGUCUGAGAAGAGCUGUAGAAACAAUCAAUAAAAUGUG